CUUGUACACACCGCCCGUCACACCAUGGGAGCGGGUUCUGCCAGAAGUAGUUAGCCUAACCGCAAGAAGGGCGAUUACCACGGCAGGGUUCGUGACUGGGGUG
This 103-nucleotide ribosomal RNA is filed under the name uncultured bacterium. RNAcentral describes it as "partial 16S ribosomal RNA". It matches the Rfam family "Bacterial small subunit ribosomal RNA", at positions 1380 to 1482 of the family's 1533-position model. The record is from RNAcentral.